Molecule: ribosomal RNA, 449 nt
Filed under: uncultured bacterium
Lineage: Bacteria
Description: SSU rRNA
Rfam family: Bacterial small subunit ribosomal RNA
Source: RNAcentral
AGAGCGAACGCUGGCGGCAUGCUUAACACAUGCAAGUCGCACGGGCACUUCGGUGUCAGUGGCGGACGGGUGAGUAACGCGUAGGUAUCUAUCCUUGGGUGGGGGACAACGGUUGGAAACGACUGCUAAUACCGCAUAAUAACUGAGGUUUAAAGGCGCAAGUCGCCUGAGGAGGAGCCUGCGUACGAUUAGCUAGUUGGUGGGGUAAAGGCCUACCAAGGCGACGAUCGUUAGCUGGUCUGAGAGGAUGAUCAGCCACAUUGGGACUGAGACACGGCCCAAACUCCUACGGGAGGCAGCAGUGGGGAAUAUUGGACAAUGGGCGAAAGCCUGAUCCAGCAAUGCCGCGUGUGUGAAGAAGGUCUUCGGAUUGUAAAAGCACUUUCGACAGGGACGAUGAUGACGGUACCUGUAGAAGAAGCCCCGGCUAACUUCGUGCCAGCAGCCGC